GGGCCCCGGGCCCCCGGGCCCCGCGGGCCUGGUGCCAGUGCUUCUCUCUCCCCUCGGGGAGGCCCUGAAGCCCCGGGCCCGGCAGCCCUUUCCUGAAGCAGCGACGGCCCACCUGGCUCCUCCUCCCCGAGGUGACAUGUUGAGGUUGGGUGGUGCGUUUCCUGCCACUGCAGAACCCCCACGGUUUCGGGGAAGGCCUAGCCGUGUCGGACACAUGCCUGUUGCACCCCAUAUGGGGCUCUCUCCGGAACCUUCGCUCUCUCUAAGACUAUGA
This 274-nucleotide long non-coding RNA is filed under the name Ursus maritimus (polar bear). RNAcentral describes it as "lncRNA (ENSUMAG00000022638.1)". The record is from RNAcentral. Lineage: Eukaryota; Metazoa; Chordata; Mammalia; Carnivora; Ursidae.